CUGCCUUACACUCUUGGACAGCCUUCUGAAAGGGAGAUUAAUACAAGAUGUUAUCAUGAGUAAGCAUUUUCGCAUGAUUAAAGAUUUAUCGGUGUACGAUGGGGAUGCGUUCCAUUAGGUAGUAGGCGGGGUAACGGCCCACCUAGCCAACGAUGGAUAGGGGUUCUGAGAGGAAGGUCCCCCACAUUGGAACUGAGACACGGUCCAAACUCCUACGGGAGGCAGCAGUGAGGAAUAUUGGUCAAUGGACGAGAGUCUGAACCAGCCAAGUAGCGUGAAGGAUGAAGGUCCUACGGAUUGUAAACUUCUUUUAUAAGGGAAUAAACCCUCCCACGUGUGGGAGCUUGUAUGUACCUUAUGAAUAAGCAUCGGCUAACUCCGUGCCAGCAGCCGCGGUAAUACGGAGGAUGCGAGCGUUAUCCGGAUUUAUUGGGUUUAAAGGGAGCGCAGACGGGUCGUUAAGUCAGCUGUGAAAGUUUGGGGCUCAACCUUAAAAUUGCAGUUGAUACUGGCGUCCUUGAGUGCGGUUGAGGUGUGCGGAAUUCGUGGUGUAGCGGUGAAAUGCUUAGAUAUCACGAAGAACUCCGAUUGCGAAGGCAGCACACUAAUCCGUAACUGACGUUC
Molecule: ribosomal RNA, 624 nt
Filed under: uncultured bacterium
Lineage: Bacteria
Description: bacterial SSU rRNA
Rfam family: Bacterial small subunit ribosomal RNA
Source: RNAcentral